RNAcentral lists this long non-coding RNA (15071 nucleotides) under Setaria italica (foxtail millet). Its description in RNAcentral is "long non-coding RNA (SITA_LNC006541)". The record is from RNAcentral. Lineage: Eukaryota; Viridiplantae; Streptophyta; Magnoliopsida; Poales; Poaceae.
GACACUUUGCAAAAACAAGCCUUGCUUAGAACAUUAAUGUUAUUCGGAAGCAGCACCAUUGUUGAGCUAAAGGAUCUGUUGAACAACUUUUCUUGCCUAAGAGUACUACAUCUAGUAGAUGUAGAUCUAGUUGAGCUGCCAGACUCCAUAUGCCACCUCAAACAUUUAAGAGACUUAAGUAUUUAUAACGCAAGCAUAUCCACAAUUCCUCAAGGCAUAGGAGAUCUAAAAUUUCUACAAUCUAUUGACCUUGAUGGGUGUGCAAAUAUUCAUCAACUUCCUAACAGCAUCCUAAAGCUGCGGAAGCUAAGGUCACUCAACUUGAGCGACACGGCAAUCACUUCAAUUCCUCGUGGCUUGGGAAAACUAGAAGAUUUGGUCCACAUAAGCGGGUUUCCAACACAUUAUUCAGAUGAGAGCACAUGUGGCUGGUGCAGCUUAGAAGAACUCAGACCUCUGUCGAAGCUCCAAAGCCUUGAAAUAAGUUGUCUGGAGAAAGCACCUUCCGGUUCUAUGGCUGCUAAAGCAAACCUUAGCAGUAAACAUCACCUGACACGGUUACAUUUGGUAUUUACCAGCAGGCUAGGAGACAACGGGAAGGUCAAAGGCAACAUUAGCGAGGAGGAACACAGGAGAACAGAGGAGGUGCUGGAUAAUCUGUGUCCUCCAACUUGCAUGGAAGAACUUGAUAUCAAAGGCUACUUUGCACGUGGGCUACCGCAGUGGAUGAGAACCAUGUCAGCCUUUGGGAGCUUAAGGCGGUUGCAGCUAGAUGACGACGCAUGCUGCACGCAUCUACCUAAUGGAUUGGGGCAGCUCCCCUUUCUUGAUUAUUUUUGGUUCAAUCGUGCUCCGUCUGUCCGGUGCGUUGGGCACGAUUUCCUCUUCCCCUCCUUGGGUGGUCAAGCUGAUGGCAAAGUAACACGGAACAAUAACAGGCAGCCUCAUCAUACUUUGCGAGGUGCUGGUGUUGCUUUUCCCAAGUUGAGAAAAGUGGGUUUUGUAGGCAUGCUGGGAUGGACGAAUUGGGAGUGGGAGCAGCACGUCCCAGCGAUGCCUGCACUAGAGGAGCUUACAAUCAUAAACUGCAAACUGCAACACCUUCCUGCAGGGCUUGCACAACAUGCAUGCCGGUUGAGAGAGUUGCGCCUGACACAUGUCCAGCACUUGGUCUCUGUUGAGAACUUCCCUUCACUAGUCAAGCUUUGGUCAUAUGACAACCCAAGGCUGGAGAGGAUCAGCAACAACCCGAGCUUGCAAUGGAUUGACAUUAGAAAUUGCCCAGCACUAGAACAAUUGGACGGUUUGCCAUCCCUCCGAAGCCUCGAGUGGAGGGAUUUGAGUGCUGAAGCACUCCCAGAAUACUUGCGAGAGGCAAAGCUAAAGAAAUUGCGUGUAGAUUGCAGCCGAAGAUUGCUCAAACUGAUAGCACUACAAGAUGAAUCCUCCGAAUGGGGAAAGAUCCAGCAUGUCCAGCAACUAGAGGCGUAUGGACACAAGAUAGAAGGAGAAGCGGAGGAAGCCGACCAAUCGCACGAAGAUGAGGAUGCCGAGUGGUACAUCUACUGUACCAAGGAGCCGUAUUCAUUCGACGCGUACCUGGGCAAGUCCACGGGUGAGUUCAUCUUCGACCUACUCGGUGGUUUUAUAACUGUAUGUGUGUGUACACUCAUGUAAAAAUGGAUUUCUAACUGUAUAUUCUCCUGCGCACAGGAUGAAGAUGAAGCAGAAGUAGACGAGGUGAACGAAGAGCAGAGUCCAGGAAUAGAAUAUAGUAAGAAUGCAAGGAACAGAGGAAGCUCUCAGGCUGUUACGACAGGACGAGCAUUCGAAUCCAUCCACCAAAUACUAGGUAUGAAUUGCCCAAAUACUGAUGGUCUUGUAGUUGUACACGCCAAAUUGGCUGUGACUAUUCUAACUGGAAAGCAUUGUCGUGUUAACGCAGGAGAAAGAAACCCAAGAAGGAGAAGAACACAUCGCAAUUGGGUGGUGGCAAUGUGGCAUACUGUCCCUCAAAUUCGUAAGUUGUAUAUGUUUGUGUGCGAAAAAUAUAAUACAGCAGUAAGGCGCGAGCGUCUCUCUAACCAGUUGUUGUGACGCUCAGGAAUGGAGCGCCAGCACGGGCGGCCUUGGACUCGUUGGAGCGAAUACGCGUCGGGGACGAGCGAUGGGCUGAGAGGUGAAGCACUGAACGUGCGCGCGAAGGGCAGCAGGGAAGGGAUUUGCACAUUUAGCUCCCAGGAUUUGCACUUCUUGUUGGCGUAUUUGUAGGCAGGUCUGCACUCCAUCUCUUCUUUUCGGUUGGUCUCUGCUAGCUCGUCAGACUUUCUACAGUGUUUUUGAAUGUUCGAUAGCAAAUGAGUGUAGGAAUUUGCAGACGUGCUCUAUGAUGCCGAGAUAACAAUUGCAUCCCCCCCUCAUGGAUCCUCUGGAAAGCUGAAGCUACUCUGCAAGACUGCAACGAUUGCAGCAACACGGACGUGCCUACUAAAAACAUGGUGCAAUAAAACUGCGAAAUGCUAAACAAGGUCAAGCCGGCAGCCAGGUAAACAACAUUCCAGGCAGCAGGUAUAUUCUGAGCCGUGUGAGAAUUAUCUGUCUGCAAUAGCUUUUUCAUGGGUAGCUAUCACUCGCAUGUGGAUCGUGUCUCUGGCUGAUCCGUUCAGCGUGGACCGGAGCCAACAACGGGGAUAAGAAGUCCCAACUAGUAGUAGUUGGCUGCCAAUGCGGUGGCCAAAAUUUGACCAAGCCAAGGCUAGUAAACAGCAAAUUUGGUACUGUAGGCGCGCUAUUAUAUAGCGGAAGCAACCAAAGUUAUAUAAAUAUUAAUUAUGGAUAAUACAAAGUUAUAUAAAUAUUAAUUAUGGAUAAUAAAGAGGGAGAACUAAUCAGGACGCUGACGAUGCUUCUAGUUGAUCCAUCAUGCUCCAAAAUCUUUCUGCAAGUCAGGAGCUGCAGGAUAUAAGUGCAGAACUGCCUGCCGAUUUCAAAAAAUUAAAAAAAAUUAAAGAAAAAAGAACUGACUGCCGAUGGCCACUCAAGGUAGUAAAAACUAUAGGAAUGCUAUUAGUAGUUCCAGUGUUCCACUGGUAGCUGCCAUUUGCGCUUUGCUGAUCCGUUAGGUGCGGAGCCAGCGACGAAGAGAAGAGUUGAAGCGUCUCUCUGGGGGUUAGUUGAGGCGUCUCUCUUUUGCACCUCAUCAAUAGAGACAAAUAAUUUGAGUUGCAUAUUUUUUGACUACUGACUGGACACCCAAUCGAGGUCCACAAAAAUAUGGAGUAGCGUACUCUUCUGGCACUCCUAUGCGUUGAACUUCUUCGCCUCGCCAUCUCAUCUGCCCAUCCGUGAUUUUCCAUCGACCGGCCAGGCCUUCCUUCUGUAUAAAGCGUCUCCUAAAUCACCGCAGAGUGUACACCCCCACAUAUCUGAAACCUAGUCAUCUUCCUUUUGCUCUCUGCUUUGCUACCCUGUUCCCCGACCAUGGCAGAGCUGCUGGACGAGUUCGCGUCCAAGCUUGUGGGCAUCCUGGCAGGCAUGGUGAAGGAGGAGGUGGAGAUGCUCCUCGGCGUGCCGGGUGAGGUCACCAAGCUCGAGACCACGCUCCGUGACCUGAGCGACAUCUUGGGUGAUGCGGAGAGGAAGCGCAUCCGUGACAAGGCUACGGAGGGUUGGGUGAGGGAGCUCAAGGACGUCAUGUACGACGCCGAUGACGUCCUUGACCUCUGCCAGCUCAUGGAGGGCGGAGAAGAUCCUCCCGCACCAACAUCUGCUCCAAAAACCACCUCAAGGUGCUGGGACAUCCCCAAGAUGUUCUUUUGCUUCCGCAACCCUGUUGUGGCACAUGAGAUUGGAACGAAGAUCCAAGCGAUCAACCAGCGACUGGAAGACCUGGCAACGAGGAGCUCCCGUUUCGGAUUCAUCACCCAAGCCAUCCAUUCCUCAGCUGAUUCAAUCAACAAAGCUUCCAAUUCUUUGUCGACCGACGAGACUGGAUCGGUUUUUAUCCGGUCUGAUGUUGUCGGCGAGAAGGUUGAGGAUGACACGAAGAAAAUUGUAGAUCUACUCAUCAAGAAGAUGGAUGCUCCCGUAGGAUCAAGGGCCAAUAAUGAUGUGGUUGUUGCUGUUGCUAUCACAGGCACAGGUGGGAUAGGCAAAACCACUCUUGCUCAGAUGGUCUUCGGUGAUAGUAGGGUGGAGGAAAAAUUCGAGGAAAGGAUCUGGUUGAGCGUUAACCGUGAGUUCAAUGAGAUCAACGUCCUACAAAGUCUUAUAACUUCUUUUGGUGCCAAACAUGAAGGCUGUGCGGGAAACAAGGACCUACUUCAGCGUGCCCUGAAGGAUACGAUCCGGCAAAAGAAGAAGUUUUUGUUGGUGAUGGAUGAUGUGUGGAGGGAAAAUGUGUGGUAUAAGCUGCUUAGAGAGCCGCUCAAUCAUGGUGCUUCUGGCAGUCGAGUCUUGGUGACCACAAGAAAUGAUGGAGUUGCUCAUGGGAUGAAAGCUCAACAUCUCCAUCCAGUUCACAAGCUAACAACGGAAGAUGCUUGGAUUUUGCUAAAGAACCAGGUCAGUAAUAACUUUUAUUUAUUACAGUAAUUAUUUAUGCAGUAAUUUGAAUUUACUGUAACAACUUUUAUCUCUUCUUAAUUACUUUCUCUCCCUUGGAGGAAUGCACGAUAGCCCACUGCUCGUUAUUUCUCUUGUCGCUCUUGUCCGAUCUGAUUACGCAAAGGACCAUGUAAUUUCACUACGAGCCUUUUAUCAUACUUUCAUAAGCUCUUGGCUUAGCAAAACUUGUCUCAUGGUUAUAUUUAGUUGAACAUAUCCUAUUGACGUUGAGGGAAGUUUUGUUUAGUGCAAGGAAUCGGAUACCGUAGCCUAAGAGGGGGAGAGGGUGAAUUAGGUAACUUAAAACCUUAAUCUAUAGCUUCCGCUACUUUUGCAUCAAAUUUAAUUAGAUCAUGUAUCAAGAUGUGUAACUAUGGUUGAUCUAGUGUGAAAUCCUCAUCCUAAAAUUAGUUUUGCAACCUAGAGGCAAUCCUAACAAGAUACUACACUAAGAAUGUAAAGGCACACAAGUUGCAAGUAUGAAAUGUGGAAAUGAAAAGGAGGGGAUGAGGGGAAGCAAACUCUUGACACGAUGAUUUAUCCCGUUGUAUCGGUAGGCACUAAACCACCGCUAGUCGACAUUGUUGAAGCACUCACACAAGAGUAUUGCUUUCCGGUCACCAAGUCUCUCUCGGGAUACUCCUUGCUUUGCCACGAAGGCUUGGCCGCUAAGGCUCACGUCAAAUUCUCAGGUCACCUUGAUACCAUCUCCACAAAGGAGCUUCUCCACGAAGGAAGGGGGUCUCCACGUUCCCUGCAUAUUGUCGUCGACGCCGAUCCAUGCCAAACCGGAGGGUCGAAGACUUACCGGCGAACUACCAAGGCUCCAAGAUAGCACACCUUGUACAGCUGUGGUUCACUCCUAGAACCGAUCACAAGGCAGGCACACCUUGCACUCUCUCUUCUCUAGGCCUAUCCUAGCACUAAAUAUUCUUAUAAGCUUGUGCUAAGCCUUUGAUUAAUCACUUAUGCACUUUUGGUGGCUUGGAUGUGUUCUUGAUGAGUCUUGAUCUCCAAUGGACUUCUGCAUACUCCAGCUUCAUCCAGCAACUCCAAUGGGUGAGUGGAGGGGGUAUAAAUAGCCCAAGAACUCAAAGAGCCGUUGCUCCAACGGCUAGUUAAAGUAUACCAUCGGAUGUUCCGAUGGUAUCAUUCGGGGUAGCAUUCGAACAUCUGGUUCUACCAGCCCUUGCCUCCCCGCGCUUAGAUUCUACUCAAGUUCCUCACCGACGCAAUCCAUCGAUUGAUCAAGUGGUCCCUCUAGCACCCAUCGGAUCAUCCGGUGCAGUAGCUUCCUAUGCCAAAACGUCUCUGUUAGUUUCUAAAAUAAAUAUGCUUCAUCCGAUGCCCCCACGACACAUAGCGUCGGAUCAUCCGGUGCCUCCUUCUUUCUUCUCUUUGCUCCGGCGAUUCAUCCGAUGGAUACAAAACUUAGGCCAUCGAAUCAUCCGAUGGUCCUACUUUGACUUGGUCUCCACAUGGCGUACCAAAAGCUCCGAUGCUUGCACCGAUGCUUUUUCAACUGGCCAUCGAAACAUCCGAUGGUCUCAAAAACCUGCUUCACGCUUGGCACCGACUGAUUCGGUGGGCACCUUCUUCUUGUCACCAGAUGAAUCGGUGACUAUAAUGAUUCCUGUUUUUCUUUGAUUCUUUGCUUAUCUUUGGUUGUGGUUGCUUCCUCAGGACCUAUAAUACCUUCAAGAUAUGUUUUCAAUGCUUUGUUAGUCCUGAUGACCGUGUUGUCACAUUAAUCACCAAAAUCACAAACAAAUAGCCUAUUCGGGGCCAUGUUUGCUACAUUUAGGCUAUUCCCAAUGGGGAUUUCAUAAGAGUUUCAUUUAAUGAUGCGACACACCAACAAUUUUGAUGAUAUGGCAUGCUAAUAAUCAUGAAGAGAGAGAGGGAAUGAGUUUAAUCCUGAUUAAACUAUGUAUACAUUGUUUCCAAGACUAUGAAACCUGAUGAAACUAGCAUUGGGGAUUAGAGAGUUUCAUUUCAUCUCAUAACAUCCAAUCACAUACCUCGCAAUUAAACGUUAUGUCCAGCCUAUGAAAUCGCGAAAUGAAACUCUCCAUUGGGAGAUCUUGUGUCAUACAUCCACUCAAACAUCUUUCGAUGACGUACCACUCUUGAAAAUUGUAAUUGAAAUUUCCCACUGGGAAUAGCCAUGGUUGCUCUAGAGUCUAGACUCUAUUUAAGUCACUUCAACUUUUUCCCUACACACAACCCCUGCAACAGUUAUGAUACAACAUAAAAUCCAUUGGGAGCUUUUCGAUUCUAGCACCAUUUCCUCUCUCAAACUUGCUGCAUUUUUUUUCCAAUACUAGGUAGUUUCGAAUGAGAGUGAUGAAGCCGAUGUCGAUGAAUUGAAGAGUAUCGGGAUGGAAAUUGUUGAAAGAUGUGACUGCUUGCCGUUAGCAGUUAAGGUCCUUGGAGGACUCUUGCGUCACAAAAGGAGAACAAGGGAUGCCUGGACGGAUGUUAGUAGCCACGAUAUUUGGUCGACAAUAGGAAGCGAUGAAGAUAUUAAUAAAGCGGUCUAUUUGAGUUAUGAAGAUUUGCCUUCACACUUGAAGCAAUGUUUUGUGUAUUGUUCGCUAAUCCCUAAAGAUCACUUGAUAUCGAGUGGAGUAAUAGUCAAGCUUUGGAUUGCAGCAGGUCAUGUACACAACAAGAUGAGCUGUAAGGUACCAGAAAAGUUGGGGAAAGAAUACUACAACGAAUUGGUUUCAAGAAAUCUUCUAGAACCAGACAAAAGUUACUAUAGUACAGUAGUAUGCAGGAUGCACGAUGUUGUCCGUUCCUUCGCUCAGUAUAUAAUUAAAGAUGAAGGGAUACUUAUUAGUGAUGGGCAGGAUGUUAAUAGAACUCUUAGCACUGCAAAGCUUCGGCACCUAUCUAUCUCAAACACGACAGUAGGGCAUGACACUUUGCAAAAACAAGCCUUGCUUAGAACAUUAAUUUUAUUCGGAAGCAGUACCACUGUUGAGCUAAAGGAUCUGUUGAACAACCUUUCUUGCCUGAGAGUACUACAUCUAGUAAAGGUAGAUUUAGUCGAGCUGCCAGACUCCAUAUGCCACCUCAAACAUUUAAGAUACUUGUGUAUUUGUAACGCAAGCAUAUCCAGAAUUCCUCAAGGCAUAGGAGAUCUAAAAUUUCUACAAUCUAUUGACCUUGAUGGGUGUGCAAAUAUUCAUCAACUUCCUAACAGCAUCCUAAAGCUGCGGAAGCUAAGGUCACUCAACUUGAGCGACACGGCAAUCACUUCAAUUCCUCGUGGCUUGGGAAAACUAGAAGAUUUGGUCACCAUAAGGGGGUUUCCAACACAUUAUUCAGAUGAGAGCACAGGUGGCUGGUGCAGCAUAGAAGAACUCAGACCUCUGUCGAAGCUCCAAAGCCUUGAAAUAAUAUGUCUGGAGAAGGCACCUUCCGGUUCUAUGGCUGCUAAAGCAAACCUUAGCAGUAAACAUCACCUGACAUGGCUAGAUUUGGUAUUUACCAGCAGGCUAGGAGACAACGGGGUGGUCGAAGGCAACAUUAGCGAGGAGGAACACAGGAGAACAGAGGAGGUGCUGGAUAAUCUGUGUCCUCCAACUUGCAUGGAAGAACUUGAUAUAAAAGGCUACUUUGCACGUGGGCUACCGCAGUGGAUGAGAACCAUGUCAGCCUUUGGGAGCUUAAGGCGGUUGGUGCUACAUGACUACGCAUGCUGCCCGCAUCUACCUAAUGGAUUGGGGCAGCUCCCCUUUCUUGAUUAUUUUUGGGUCAAACGUGCUCCGUCUGUCCGGUGCGUUGGGCACGAUUUCCUCUUCCCCUCCUUGGGUGGUCAAGCUGAUGGCAAAGUAACACGGAACAAUAACAGGCAGCCUCAUCAUACUUCGCGUGGUGCUGGUGUUGCUUUUCCCAAGCUGUCAGAAGUGGGUUUUGUAGGCAUGCUGGGAUGGACGAAUUGGGAGUGGGAGCAGCACGUCCCAGCGAUGCCUACACUAGAGGAGCUUACAAUCAGAAACUGCAAACUGCAACACCUUCCUGCAGGGCUUGCAUACCAUGCAUGCCGGUUGAGAGAGUUGGACCUGAGAAAUAUCCAGCUCUUGGUCUGUGUGGAGAACUUCCCUUCACUAGUCAAGCUUUGGUCAUAUGACAACCCAAGGCUGGAGAGGAUCAGCAACAACCCAAGCUUGCAAUGGAUUGACAUUAGCAAUUGCCGAGCACUAGAGGAAUUGGACGGUUUGCCAUCCCUCCUAAGCCUUGAGUGGUGGAAUUUGAGUGCUGAAGCACUCCCAGAAUACUUGCGAGAGGCAAAGCUAAAGAAAUUGCGUGUAGAUUGCAGCCGAAGAUUGCUCAAACUGAUAGCACUACAAGAUGAAUCCUCCGAAUGGGGAAAGAUCCAGCAUGUCCAGCAACUAAAGGUGUAUGGAUGCAAGAUAGAAGGAGAAGCGGAGGAAGCCGACCAAUCGCACGAAGAUGAGGAUGCCGAGUGGUACAUCUACUGUACCAAGGAGCCGUAUUCAUUCGACGCAUACCUGGGCAAGUCCACGGGUGAGUUCAUCUUCGACCUACUCGGUGGUUUUAUAACUGUAUGUGUGUACACUCAUGUAAAAAUGGAUUUCUAACUGUAUAUUCACCUGCGCACAGGAUGAAGAUGAAGCAGAAGUAGACGAGGUGAACGAAGAGCAGAGUCCAGGAAUAGAACAUAGUAAGAAUGCAAGGAACAGAGGAAGCUCUCAGGCUGUUACGACAGGAGGAGCAUUCGAAUCCAUCCACCAAAUACUAGGUAUGAAUUGCCCAAAUACUAAUGGUCUUGUAGUUGUACACGCCAAAUUGGCUGUGACUAUUCUAACUGGAAAGCAUUGUCGUGUUAACGCAGGAGAAGAACACAUCGCAAUUGGCAUACUGUCCCUCAAAUUCGUAAGUUGUAUAUGUUUGUGUGCGAAAAAUAUAAUACAUCAGUAAGGCGCGAGCGUCUCUCUAACCAGUUGUUGUGACGCUCAGGAAGGGAGCGCCAGCACGGGCGGCCUUGGACUCGUUGGAGCGAAUACGCGUCGGGGACGAGCGAUGGGCUGAGAGCUGAAGCACUGAACGUGCGCGCGAAGGGCAGCAGGGAAGGGAUUUGCACAUUUAGCUCCCAGGAUUUGCACUUCUUGUUGGCGUAUUUGUAGGCAGGUCUGCACUCCAUCUCUUCUUUUUGGUUGGUCUGUGCUAGCUCGUCAGACUUUCUACAGUGUUUUUGAAUGUUCGAUAACAAAUGAGUGUAGGAAUUUGCAGACGUGCUCUAUGAUGCCGAGAUAACAAUUGCAUCCCCCCCUCAUGGAUCCUCUGGAAAGCUGAAGCUACUCUGCAAGACUGCAACGAUUGCAGCAACACGGACGUGCCUACUAAAAACAUGGUGCAAUAAAACUGCGAAAUGCUAAACAAGGUCAAGCCGGCAGCCAGGUGAGCAACAUUCCAGGCAGCAGGCAUAUUCUGAGCCGUUCAGCGUGGACCGGAGCCAACAACGGGGAUAAGAAGUCCCAACUAGUAGUAGUUGGCAGCCAAUGCGGUGGCCAAAAUUUGACCAAGCCAAGGCUAGUAAACAGCAAAUUUUGUAGCAAACCAAAAUUAAAAUGCGACGUAACCAAAGCGCUGGCGUAACCAUGUCGACAUUAGACCUGAUUUGUUAAUACGUGCUGAGAUGGCGAGGCAUAUCUUGUAACCAGCGACGAAGAGAAGAGUUCAAGCUGCAUUGGAUACAUGUGCUCCUGCCUCCUGGGGGUUAGUUGAGGCGUCUCUCUUUUGCACCUCAUCAAUAGAGACAAAUAAUUUGAGUUGCAUAUUUUUUGACUACUGACUGGACACCCAAUCGAGGUCCACAAAAAUAUGGAGUAGCGUACUCUUCUGGCCCUCCUAUGCGUUGAACUUCUUCGCCUCACCAUCUCAUCUGCCCAUCCGUGAUUUUCCAUCGACCGGCCAGGCCUUCCUUCUGUAUAAAGCGUCUCCUAAAUCACCGCAGAGUGUACACCCACACAUAUCUGAAAUCUAGUCAUCUUCCUUAGUCAUCUUCCUUUUGCUCUCUGCUUUGCUACCCUGUUCCCCGACCAUGGCAGAGCUGCUGGACGAGUUCGCGUCCAAGCUUGUGGGCAUCCUGGCAGGCAUGGUGAAGGAGGAGGUGGAGAUGCUCCUCGGCGUGCCGGGUGAGGUCACCAAGCUCGAGACCACGCUCCGCGACCUGAGCCACAUCUUGGGUGAUGCGGAGAGGAAGCGCAUCCGUGACAAGGCUACGGAGGGUUGGGUGAGGGAGCUCAAGGACGUCAUGUACGACGCCGAUGACGUCCUUGACCUCUGCCAGCUCAUGGAAGGCGGAGAAGAUCCUCCCGCACCAACAUCUGCUCCGAAAACCACCUCAAGGUGCUGGGACAUCCCCAAGAUGUUUUUUUGCUUCCGCAACCCUGUUGCGGCACAUGAGAUUGGAACGAAGAUCCAAGCGAUCAACCAGCGACUGGAAGACCUGGCAAAGAGGAGCUCCCGUUUCGGAUUCAUCACCCAAGCCAUCCAUUCCUCAGCUGAUUCAAUCAACGAAGCUUGGAAUUCUUUGUCCGACGAGACUGGAUCGGUUUUUAUCCGGUCUGAUGUUGUCGGCGAGAAGAUUGAGGAUGACACGAAGAAAAUUGUUGAUCUACUCAUCAAGAAGGUGGAUGCUCCUGUAGGAUCAAGGGCCAAUAGUGAUGUGGUUGUUGCUGUUGCUAUCACAGGCACAGGUGGGAUAGGCAAAACCACUCUUGCUAAGAUGGUCUUCGGUGAUAGUAGGGUGGAGGAAAACUUCAAGGAAAGGAUCUGGUUGAGCGUUAACCGUGAGUUCAAUGAGAUCAAUGUCCUACAAAGUCUUAUAGCUUCUUUUGGUGCCAAACAUGAAGGCUGUGCGGGAAACAAGGACCUACUUCAGCGUGCCCUGAAGGAUACAAUCCGGCAAAAGAAGAAGUUUUUGUUGGUGAUGGAUGAUGUGUGGAGCGAAAAUGUGUGGUAUAAGCUGCUUAGAGAGCCGCUCAAUCAUGGUGCUUCUGGCAGUCGAGUCUUGGUGACCACAAGAAAUGAUGGAGUUGCUCAUGGGAUGAAAGCUCAACAUCUCCAUCGAGUUGACAAGCUAACAACGGAAGAUGCUUGGAUUUUGCUAAAGAACCAGGUCAGUAAUAACUUUUAUUUAUUACAGUAAUUAUUUAUGCAGUAAUUUGAAUUUACAGUAACAACUUUUAUCUCUUCUUAAUUACUUUCUCUCCCUUGGAGUAAUGCACGAUAGCCCAUUGCUCAAUAUUUCUCUUGUCGCUCUUUUCCGAUCUGAUUACGCAAAGGACCAUGUAAUUUCACUACGAGCCUUUUAUCAUACUUUCAAAGCUCUUCGCUUAGCAAAACAUGUCUCAUGGUUAUAUUUAGUUGAACAUAUCCUAUUGACGUUGAGGGAUGUUUUGUUUAGGGCAACGAAUCGGGUAUCGUAGCCUAAGAGGGGGAGGGGGUGAUUUAGGCAACUUAAAAUCUUAACCUAUGGCUUCUGCUACUUUUGCAUCAAACAUAAACAAGAUCAUGCUGUCAAGAUGUGCAAUUAUGGUUGAUCUAGUGUGAACUCUUCAUCCUAAAAUAAGUUUUGCAACCUAGAGGCAUCCUAGCAAGAUACUACACUAAGAAAGUAAAGGCACACAAGUUGUAAGUAUGAAAUGCGGAAAUGUAAAGGAGGGGAUGAGGGGAAGCAAACUCUUGACACAAGAGUAUUGCUUUCCGGUCACCAAGUCUCUCCCUGGACACUCCUUGAUUUGCCACAAAGGCUCGGCUACUAAGGCUCACGCCAAAUUCACAGGCUACCUUGAUACCAUCUCCACAAAGGAGCUUCUCCACGAAAGAAGGGGGUCUCCACGUUCCCUGCACAUUGUCGUCGACGCCGCUCCACACCAAGCCGGAGGGUCAAAGACUUACCGGCGAACCACCAAGGCUCCAAGGUUUCAGCACACCUUGUACAGCUGUGGUUCACUCCUAGAAUCGAUCACAAGGCAAGCACACCUUGCAUUCUCUCUUCUCUAGGCCUAUCCUAGCACUAAACAUUCUUCUAAGCUUGCGCUAAACCUUUGAUUAAUCACUUAUGCACUUUUGGUGGUUUGGAUGUGUUCUUGACGAGUCUUGAUCUCCAAUGGAAUUCUGCACACUCCAGCUUCAUCCAACAACUCCAAAUGGGUGAGUGGCGGGGGGUAUAAAUAGCCCAAGAACUCAAAGAGCCGUUGCUCCAACGGCUAGUUAAAGUAUACCAUCGGAUGUUCCGAUGGUAUCAUUUGGGGUAGCAUCGGAACAUCCGGUUCUACCAGCCAUUGCCUCCCCGCGCUCAGAUUCUGCUCAAGUUCCUCACUGACGUAAUCCAUCGAUUGAUCCAGUGGUCCCUCUAGCACCCAUCGGAUCAUCCGGUGCAGUAGCUUCCUAUGCCAAAACGUCUUUGUUAGUUUCUAAAAUAAAUAUGCUUCGUCCGAUGCCCCUGCGACACAUAGCGUCGGAUCAUCCAGUGCCUCCUUCUUUCUUCUCUUUGCUCCGGCGAUUCAUCCGAUGGGUACAAAACUUAGGCCAUCGGAUCAUCUGAUGGUCCUGCUUUGACUUGGUCUCCACAUGGCGAACCAAAAGCUCUGAUGCUUGCACCGACACUUUUUCAACUGGCCAUCAAAGCAUCCGAUGGUCUCAAAAAUCUUCUUCACGCUUGUCACCAACUGAUUCGGUGGGCACCUUCUUCUUGUCACCGGAUGAAUCAGUGGCUAUAACAAUUCUUGUUUUUCUUUGAUUUCUUUGAUUCUUUGCUUGUCUUUGGUUGUGGUUGCUUCCUUAGGACCUAUAAUACCUUCAAGAUAUGUUCUCAAUGCUUUGUUAGUCCUAAUGACCAUGUUGUCACAUUAAUCACCGAAAUCACAAACAAAUGGCCUAUUCGGAGCCAUGUUUGCUACAUUUAGGCUAUCCCCAAUGAGGAUUUCAUAAGAGUUUCUUUUAAUGAUGUGACACAUCAACAAUUUUGAUGAUAUGACAUGCUAAUAAUCAUGAAGAGAGAGAGGGAAGGAGUUUCAUCCUGAUUAAACUGUGUAUACAUUGUUUCCAAGACUAUGAAACCUGAUGAAACUAGCAUUAGGGAUUAGAUAGUUUUAUUUCAUCUCAUAACAUCCAAUCACAUACCUCGCAAUUAAACGUUAUGUCCAGCCUAUAAAAUCGUGAAAUGAAACUCUCCAUUGGGAGAUCUUGUGUCAUACAUCCACUCAAACAUCUUUUGAUGACAUACCACUCCUGAAAACCGUAAUAUGAAAUUCCCCACUGGGAAUAGCUAUGGUUGCUCUAGAGUCUAGACUCUAUUGAAGUCACUUCAACUUUUUCCCAACACACAACCCCUGCACAAGUUAUGAUACAACAUAAAAUCCAUUGGGAGCUUUUCGAUUCUAACACCAUUUCCUCUCUCAAACUUGCUGCAUUUUUUCCAAUACUAGGUAGUUUUGAAUGAGAGUGAUGAUGUCGAUGAAUUGAAGAGUAUCGGGAUGGAAAUUGUUAAAAGAUGUGACUGCUUGCCAUUAGCAGUUAAGGUCCUUGGAGGACUCUUGCGCCGCAAAAGUAGAACAAGAGAUGCCUGGACGGAUGUUAGUAGCCACGGCACUUGGUCGACAAUAGGAAUCCAUGAAGAUAUUAAUAAAGCGGUCUAUUUGAGUUAUGAAGACUUGCCUUCACACUUGAAGCAAUGUUUUGUGUAUUGUUCGCUAAUCCCUCAAGAUUACUUGAUUUCAAGUCGAGUAAUAGUCCAGAUUUGGAUUGCAGCAGGUCAUGUACACAACAAGAUGAGCUGUAAGGCACCAGAAACGUUGGGGGAAGAAUACUACAAAGAAUUGGUUUCAAGAAAUCUUCUAGAACCAGAGAAAGGUUACUAUAGAAUAUCAGCAUGGAACAUGCACGACGUUGUCCGUUCCUUCGCUCAGUAUAUAAUUAAAGAUGAAGGGAUACUUAUUAGUGAUGGGCAGGAUGUCAAUAGAACUCUUAGCACUGCAAAGCUUCGGCACCUAUCUAUCUCAAACAAGGCAGUAAGGCAUGACACUUUGCAAACACAAGCCUUGCUUAGAACAUUAAUGUUAUUCGAAGGCAGCACCACUGUUGAGCUAAAGGAUAUGUUGAACAACCUUUCUUGCCUAAGAGUACUACAUCUGAUAGAUGUAGAUCUAGUUGAGCUGCCAGACUCCAUAUGCCACCUCAAACAUUUAAGAUCCUUGUAUCUUUCUGGCACAAGCAUAUCCACAAUUCCUCAAGGCAUAGGAGAUCUAAAAUUUCUACAAUCUAUUGACCUUGAUGGGUGUGCAAAUAUUCAUCAACUUCCUAACAGCAUCCUAAAGCUGCGGAAGCUAAGGUCACUCACCUUGAGCGACACGGCAAUCACUUCAGUUCCUCGUGGCUUGGGAAAACUAGAAGAUUUGGUCGACAUAAGGGGGUUUCCAACACAU